Molecule: long non-coding RNA, 2523 nt
Organism: Manihot esculenta (cassava)
Lineage: Eukaryota; Viridiplantae; Streptophyta; Magnoliopsida; Malpighiales; Euphorbiaceae
Exons: 4
Source: RefSeq, a predicted model, not a curated record
UAUUACAGUGUCUGUUGUUUUCUAUUUUCCAAUCCCUAAUAUCCAUUUCAAAAUAAAAACAUCGGAUUUGGUCAUUUUCGUCUUUUGCGUUGUGUAGCUCGAUCUCAGAGGGAGAGGGAUUGGUUUGAUCUAGUUCGGUUCUGUUCAAAACUUCUGUUCUGUUCGAUCCUCGUAUUUUAGCUAUUCGGUUAUUUGACUCGAUUCUCAUAUUUUAUUCGCCUCUAUUAUUACUCGGAUGUGAUGGUUUACGGUGAUCGGUGACUGACGCUACUACUGCUAAUCAACAUUGGCGAAGUUUGAGGUGGAAUUCUAAUGUCCAGGUUUAGAGCAGUUUGGCAAGCUUCUUUAAAUGCAACAAAGCAAUGGCAAUAUUCUUUUGCUGAGACGAAAACUCAAGUUGCUAUGGGAAAACUCCUUACAGAACUUAUUUUUGUACCCAAAUACAACUGGUAUAUUGGAAAGUUAAAUCCAUGGAUUGCCACAAGGUGAGAGAGUUGGGCUCACUAGAAUAAAUAGGAGGACCCACGCACUUCUGGGAAAUGCACUUCUGGGAAAUUCACUUCUGGGAAAUUUGCACUUCUGGGAAAUUGACUUCUGGGAAAUUGAUGGCUGACGUUUCCGAGCACACACUUUAUAUAUCCCCAUCAUCUCUGUCUCAUGUCUAAGUUAAGCGACUUGCCUGCAAUUGCUGACCAGAUAACCCCAACAUCACCGUUUCUAGAGAAUCUCAGCUAGCAAUUUUUGCAGCCUUGUUUUGUAAUGCCACCGCCCUUAUCUUUCUUGCUUUGAAACCACGUCUUGUUCACUGUAUCCAAUACUCACUGUAUCCAAUACUCUCCAUCCUAAUAAUAAUUUUAUUUAUUCUUAAAAAAAUAUUUAAUCAAUAAAUUUGAUAAAAUUUAUAGAACUGGCUGAAAUAAUAAAAAUGUACUUACUCGCUGUAGAGUUGUGAUUGAUUGAUUGAGGUAGGCAAUAAAUUGGAAAACGUGAAGUGAAGUUUCGGACAUGUUCUACAGAGAGUGGAGUGCAGAAGAGGCACGUGCUUUCGAGCUCAUUCUACACACAAAGUGUGGCUCUAAUUCACUUGGCCUUUGGAUUUUCUACCUGUUUCUAUGAACCAUGCACUGCUUCCCUUCCCUUCCGUUGUCAGGGAUUGCUUUAUCAUUUCUCUAUCUACUCUUCAUUGAUUUCCCCAUUUUCAAAUAUAUAUAUAUGUGAUUAUGCAAAAGAGAAUUAAAGAUUUUUAAAAUUUUGAAAAAUUUUCAUUUUUAUUUUUAAUGAGAAAUCGGUGGUUUUUUCUUUUAUAAAAUUUAAAAAAAUAAAAGAAUUUUAAUUAUUAAUUUGAUUAAAAAAAUAGAGUUGGAUUAAAUUCAAAUAAGACAUGUUAGUGAAAGUUAGGAGUUGGAUUGAGAUUAUAAUGGGAUGAAUUUAAAUGGAAUUAGAAUUUACUAAGCACUUGAAUUAAUUGUUUUGGUUAAAUUAUUUUUUAUUUAAAAAAUUGAAAGAAAUAUUAAAUUUAACGAAUAUAAAACAAAAUCAAAAAGUUGUGGAACGAAACUAUAUAUAUAUUAAAUAAAGCCCAAGUCUAUUGUGAUUAAUUUUGAUCUCCUCAACCAAUAUAGACCGAUAUGAUGUUACUUGUAUAAAUUCAAAAAAAUUAUUAUUUAAUUUUAUAAUAUAAAAAAAUAAUUAUCACUUUAGUAAAUAUGUUUGCUAGUUAAAAAUAUAAAUGGAUAGAGUAACUGUAAAAAUUAAAUUACUAACGGAUAAAUUAAAUUAUUAAUGAAUAUUAUUUUUUAAUUUUGAAUAUAUUUUAAAUUCGAUUAUAACUAUUAAAAUUUAUUUUAUUAAGAUCGGGUAAUUAAAAAUAUCUAAUUUAUUAUCCGCAAAAAUAUCUAAUUUAUUAUCCUUUUAAGUAUUGACGAUAUUUUAGAUUUUUAAAAAUAUUAUUAAUAAAGAAAGAUUAAUUAAUAAAUUAUGAAUGGCAUUAGACUGUUGAGGAUGUUUAACUUACAAAAAAUGAUGGACUUCAAUUAAUAGUAUUAAAGUUGUUUUUAAAAUGGUAAAAUCUCAAAUUUAAAUUUUAAUCACUUGAGCCAGCCAUAAUUGGCAUAGGAGCUCUAUGUCUAACAUUUAGGUGACUUCUCCUUAUAUUAGACUAAAAAUGUUAUGGUUGAUCUCCUUUUGGGCGAUCAUUAGUAAUAAACAUAGCCACCUAAAGGGAGCUGUUCUAGUGUUUGCAUGGCUAUUUCUUUUGGAUUGUCGUUCGCUGGUGGUUUGGCUUUCUGUUGUUUUUAACUUGAUUGCUCCGCAUGUGGACAAUGUGGCGAAUGGCAUGUUUUGCUUUGGCUUAGUUGAUGCACUUCGCUGUUGUUGAUCGGUGGUAGGAUUAGUCUGGUUAACGCAGUGAUUUUGGCCGAUGGACAUCCCAAAGUAUUCUGUUUAGUUCUUCGGCUGCAUUUGAGCUGGGUUUGGAUUUUCUCAAACUAGAUUGAAUUUUAUGGAUUGAUUUCCAUGUUUAUU